Molecule: unclassified non-coding RNA, 197 nt
Filed under: plant metagenome
Description: partial contains small subunit ribosomal RNA, internal transcribed spacer 1, and 5.8S ribosomal RNA
Source: RNAcentral
UCUCCGCUGGUGAACCAGCGGAGGGAUCAUUACCGAGUGCAAACUCAUAACCCUUUGUGAACCUAUAACUGUUGCUUCGGCGGCUCGCUCUCGGGCGAGCCCGCCGGUAAUAUCAGUAUCUCUGUUUGAACCCGACGAUACUUCUGAGUGUUCUUAGCGAACAGUUAAAACUUUUAACAACGGAUCUCUUGGCUCUA